Gasterosteus aculeatus aculeatus (three-spined stickleback) is the source of this 593-nucleotide long non-coding RNA. Lineage: Eukaryota; Metazoa; Chordata; Actinopteri; Perciformes; Gasterosteidae. The record is from Ensembl.
CGUUAGCAGUCACAAGUCAAUCGCUCCCCUGUAUAUCAAUUCCUCUUCCUCUCCAAGCUCGGAGAAUGGAAAGAAGAAGAAGAAGAUGAAGAAGUCAAAGAAGAAGAAGGGAAAGAAAGUAACAACGGAGAGAGGAAACAAAAAGAUCAGACGGAGCCGUGUUUCAAGGGCACGUGGUCCAGAUGAGGUAAUUGCACGUUACCGGAAAGUGUUGAAGGUCUACAAGAAGAAGAAUACCGUCACUGCUGCUUGCAGAAUAGUGGGAGUGAAUUGCAAUACAAUUGCCUUGAAUGCACCAAUUGCAGAGCUUUCCAUUGCUGCACCUGAAAAGUUUGCGGAGUUUAAAGAUCAGCAUACAACAAAGCACAGGUUUUGUAGUCUGUUGCCUGUUGGAAAAGGGGAAUUUUGAAUUGAUGUUGUGCUGAUAGACCAUGUUUUAAAAAAAAGUUAAGUUAAAUGUUCAGGGGAAAAAAAAUAAUAAUAAUCUACCUCAGUUUUAUCAUGCGCUUUAAGGUAAUUUCAAUGUUUUUGAUAAUAUGACUAGAUUUUAACAGACCCUGAAAGUGUUUUUAUUUUUUACAUUUGUAGUCCAC